GAUGAACGCUGGCGGCGUGCCUAAUACAUGCAAGUCGAGCGAACAGAUGAGGAGCUUGCUCCUCUGACGUUAGCGGCGUACGGGUGAGUAACACGUGGAUAACCUACCUAUAAGACUGGGAUAACUUCGGGAAACCGGAGCUAAUACCGGAUAAUAUAUUGAACCGCAUGGUUCAAUAGUGAAAGACGGUUUUGCUGUCACUUAUAGAUGGAUCCGCGCCGCAUUAGCUAGUUGGUAAGGUAACGGCUUACCAAGGCAACGAUGCGUAGCCGACCUGAGAGGGUGAUCGGCCACACUGGAACUGAGACACGGUCCAGACUCCUACGGGAGGCAGCAGUAGGGAAUCUUCCGCAAUGGGCGAAAGCCUGACGGAGCAACGCCGCGUGAGUGAUGAAGGUCUUCGGAUCGUAAAACUCCGUUAUUAGGGAAGAACAAAUGUGUAAGUAACUAUGCACGUCUUGACGGUACCUAAUCAGAAAGCCACGGCUAACUACGUG
This 497-nucleotide ribosomal RNA is filed under the name uncultured bacterium. Its description in RNAcentral is "partial 16S ribosomal RNA". It matches the Rfam family "Bacterial small subunit ribosomal RNA", at positions 28 to 507 of the family's 1533-position model. The record is from RNAcentral.